UCCCUGGUGGCUCAGAGGGUAAAGUGUUUGCUUGCAAUGCAGGAGACCCAGGUUCGAUCCCUGGGUCGGGAA
This is a transfer RNA of Ovis aries (sheep), 72 nucleotides long. It matches the Rfam family "tRNA". Rfam says of the family: Transfer RNA (tRNA) molecules are approximately 80 nucleotides in length. Their secondary structure includes four short double-helical elements and three loops (D, anti-codon, and T loops). The record is from Rfam. Lineage: Eukaryota; Metazoa; Chordata; Mammalia; Artiodactyla; Bovidae.